AUGCAGGCCGCCACAGCGCGCGCGCGCCGCCUUCUCGCGUCACCAGCGGCCUCCGGGAUCCAGGGAAUCCUCUCCGCCUCUCACCGCGGGUGCGCGGCGGCCGCCGAGCUCGUUCUCCUGCCCCAUCUCGAGAAUGGCUUCCCCGCCUCGCGCUCCUCUCCGGAUCACACCAGGAGCUUCUCCUCCCACCUGCCCCGCACUUUGCUAUCGCAAACCGCAACUUCUCAUUGCCGGUGUAACAAAUCAGUGUGCUAUCACAUGGCAAGAGCUCAUUUGUCGACAGACUCAAGCGGAAUCGACCAACCUAAAGAAUCUGCAGAGGAGCUGUACCAGAAAAUGCUGAAGUCUGUUGAAGCCCAGACUAUGCCGCCAAAUGCCUGGUUGUGGUCAAUGAUCAGUAGUUGCUCCAGUGAGGAGGAUAUAAAACUUCUCUUUCAGAUUUUGCAGAAGCUAAGAAUAUUCAGGCUAUCAAAUCUUCGCAUCAAUGCAAACUUCAACGACCAUCUCUGUAUGAAAGUUUCUGAGGCUUGUGCUCGUGUGGGUGUCCUUGACUAUGGGUUGAAGGUUUUAUGGAAUCAUAAUGUUUAUGGAAUAACGCCAACCAUUGGUUCUGCCCAUUAUCUACUGCAACAUGCUAAAGAGCACAAUGAUACUAAAUUAAUGGAGAAGAUAAUGCAAGUCCUUAGGAGGAAUUCCUUGCCAUUACAACCAGGCACUGCUGAUAUUGUCUUCAGUAUCUGCUAUAACACUGAUAGAUGGGAUUUACUCUCAAAAUAUGCGGCAAGAUUUGUUCAGGCUGGAGUCAAGUUGCGUCGUACUGCAUUUGACGUAUGGAUGGAAUUUGCUGCCAAAGUUGGAGAUUCUCAAUCUAUAUGGAACAUCAAUAGCCUGAGAGGCAAGUCUAUCAAGCACUAUACUCUUACAUCAGGUUUUGCAUGCGUAAAGGGGUCUCUGCUUGAACGCAGGCCAGAAAAUGCCGCUGCCACCAUUAAACUUCUUCACAAGCACUUGCCUGAUCAGAAGAAACCAUUUGUGAAAGAUGAACUCCAAAAGCUUGUUGCUGAAUGGCCAACAGAGGUGAUAAAAAGGCAGAAGAAGGAUGAUAGGAAGGCAAUGGAGGAAGCUUUGAUUGAGGACAUCCCAAAGAUGAUCAGCUCCAUGGCGAAGUCGGGCCUCGAUAUUUCCGUGGAUCUGGACAAGCUCACCCGUCAGCCUGAAGCAGCGUAG
RNAcentral lists this ribosomal RNA (1227 nucleotides) under Triticum aestivum (bread wheat). RNAcentral's name for it is "partial small subunit ribosomal RNA". Lineage: Eukaryota; Viridiplantae; Streptophyta; Magnoliopsida; Poales; Poaceae. The record is from RNAcentral.